UUAGAGUUUGAUCCUGGCUCAGAACGAACGCUGGCGGCGUGGAUAAGACAUGCAAGUCGAACGAGAGAAUUGCUAGCUUGCUAAUAAUUCUCUAGUGGCGCACGGGUGAGUAACACGUGAGUAACCUGCCCCCGAGAGCGGGAUAGCCCUGGGAAACUGGGAUUAAUACCGCAUAGUAUCGAAAGAUUAAAGCAGCAAUGCGCUUGGGGAUGGGCUCGCGGCCUAUUAGUUAGUUGGUGAGGUAACGGCUCACCAAGGCGAUGACGGGUAGCCGGUCUGAGAGGAUGUCCGGCCACACUGGAACUGAGACACGGUCCAGACACCUACGGGUGGCAGCAGUCGAGAAUCAUUCACAAUGGGGGAAACCCUGAUGGUGCGACGCCGCGUGGGGGAAUGAAGGUCUUCGGAUUGUAAACCCCUGUCAUGUGGGAGCAAAUUAAAAAGAUAGUACCACAAGAGGAAGAGACGGCUAACUCUGUGCCAGCAGCCGCGGUAAUACAGAGGUCUCAAGCGUUGUUCGGAAUCACUGGGCGUAAAGCGUGCGUAGGCUGUUUCGUAAGUCGUGUGUGAAAGGCGCGGGCUCAACCCGCGGACGGCACAUGAUACUGCGAGACUAGAGUAAUGGAGGGGGAACCGGAAUUCUCGGUGUAGCAGUGAAAUGCGUAGAUAUCGAGAGGAACACUCGUGGCGAAGGCGGGUUCCUGGACAUUAACUGACGCUGAGGCACGAAGGUCAGGGGAGCGAAAGGGAUUAGAUACCCCUGUAGUCCUGGCAGUAAACGGUGCACGCUUGGUGUGCGGGGAAUCGACCCCCUGCGUGCCGGAGCUAACGCGUUAAGCGUGCCGCCUGGGGAGUACGGUCGCAAGAUUAAAACUCAAAGAAAUUGACGGGGACCCGCACAAGCGGUGGAGUAUGUGGCUUAAUUCGAUGCAACGCGAAGAACCUUACCUGGGCUUGACAUGUAAUGAACAACAUGUGAAAGCAUGCGACUCUUCGGAGGCGUUACACAGGUGCUGCAUGGCCGUCGUCAGCUCGUGUCGUGAGAUGUUUGGUUAAGUCCAGCAACGAGCGCAACCCCUGUUGCCAGUUACCAGCACGUGAAGGUGGGGACUCUGGCGAGACUGCCCAGAUCAACUGGGAGGAAGGUGGGGACGACGUCAGGUCAGUAUGGCCCUUAUGCCCAGGGCUGCACACGUACUACAAUGCCCAGUACAGAGGGGGCCGAAGCCGCGAGGCGGAGGAAAUCCUGAAAACUGGGCCCAGUUCGGACUGUAGGCUGCAACCCGCCUACACGAAGCCGGAAUCGCUAGUAAUGGCGCAUCAGCUACGGCGCCGUGAAUACGUUCCCGGGUCUUGCACUCACCGCCCGUCA
RNAcentral lists this ribosomal RNA (1372 nucleotides) under uncultured bacterium. Its description in RNAcentral is "bacterial SSU rRNA". It matches the Rfam family "Bacterial small subunit ribosomal RNA". The record is from RNAcentral.